This 207-nucleotide ribosomal RNA is filed under the name uncultured bacterium. Its description in RNAcentral is "partial 16S ribosomal RNA". It matches the Rfam family "Bacterial small subunit ribosomal RNA", at positions 568 to 774 of the family's 1533-position model. The record is from RNAcentral.
CACGUAGGCGGACUCUUAAGUCAGGGGUGAAAUCCUGGAGCUCAACUCCAGAACUGCCUUUGAUACUGGGAGUCUUGAGUUCGGGAGAGGUGAGUGGAACUGCGAGUGUAGAGGUGAAAUUCGUAGAUAUUCGCAUGAACACCAGUGGCGAAGGCGGCUCACUGGCCCGAUACUGACGCUGAGGUGCGAAAGCGUGGGGAGCAAACA